Molecule: ribosomal RNA, 242 nt
Filed under: Hordeum euclaston
Lineage: Eukaryota; Viridiplantae; Streptophyta; Magnoliopsida; Poales; Poaceae
Source: RNAcentral
UUUUUAAUAUGUUUUUUGCUCCACGCGAGAAACAUGCGUACGUGUGCGGAAUAUAUUAAGCGCGGUUCCUUAUUCUCGACGUUUUCGGCAAGUUUAGCUUGCGGGUCAUUAUCGACGCGUGUAGGGGCGUCGUUGCGGUGGAAAAGUGGUCGGAUCCCAUCAGAACUCCGAAGUUAAGCGUGCUUGGGCGAGAGUAGUACUAGGAUAGGUGACCUCCUGGGACGUCCUCGUGUUGCAUUCCC